RNAcentral lists this ribosomal RNA (502 nucleotides) under Alteromonas sp. Its description in RNAcentral is "bacterial SSU rRNA". It matches the Rfam family "Bacterial small subunit ribosomal RNA", at positions 382 to 876 of the family's 1533-position model. Lineage: Bacteria; Pseudomonadati; Pseudomonadota; Gammaproteobacteria; Alteromonadales; Alteromonadaceae. The record is from RNAcentral.
CCUGAUGCAGCCAUGCCGCGUGUGUGAAGAAGGCCUUCGGGUUGUAAAGCACUUUCCGUAAAGUGGAAAAGUUAGUAGUUAAUACCUGCUAGCCGUGACGUUAACAACAGAAGAAGCACCGGCUAACUCCGUGCCAGCAGCCGCGGUAAUACGGAGGGUGCGAGCGUUAAUCGGAAUUACUGGGCGUAAAGCGCACGCAGGCGGUUUGUUAAGCUAGAUGUGAAAGCCCCGGGCUCAACCUGGGACGGUCAUUUAGAACUGGCAGACUAGAGUCUUGGAGAGGGGAGUGGAAUUCCAGGUGUAGCGGUGAAAUGCGUAGAUAUCUGGAGGAACAUCAGUGGCGAAGGCGACUCCCUGGCCAAAGACUGACGCUCAUGUGCGAAAGUGUGGGUAGCGAACAGGAUUAGAUACCCUGGUAGUCCACACCGUAAACGCUGUGUGCUAGCUGUUUGUGGCUUUAAGCCGUGAGUAGCGAAGCUAACGCGAUAAGUAGACCGCCUGG